CUCUAUCAGGACCUUGUCUAGGCUAGAGAAGAAGAAUAAGAAAAAUUGGACAAGAGGAGCCUAUUCUAAAAAAAAAAAGGAGAAUUGGAUGUCUUGGACACUAGGUGUGCACCCCUAUUUAUAUUGCACGUAGGGGUGAAAACCAAGCAUCCCACGCCCACACACAAAGCAUCUCAUGCCUCCCCCCAUUUUCUCACGCCCCAUC
This 205-nucleotide long non-coding RNA is filed under the name Elaeis guineensis (African oil palm). RNAcentral describes it as "long non-coding RNA (EGUI_LNC066384)". The record is from RNAcentral. Lineage: Eukaryota; Viridiplantae; Streptophyta; Magnoliopsida; Arecales; Arecaceae.